GGCAGAACAUAAAGGCUUAAGAUUUUAAUGUACCUGUUAUUUAAAGAUUAUACAUUAGAAACAAUUUGUAGGUUUGAAGAACUUCGUAGACAUUCUAUUAUUGGUCAUAGUUAUGCUAUUUGAUAUUUGAAUGGAGGGAAAAAUGCUUGUGCUACUUGGAAUAGUUGGGUGACAACUAGCACUAGUUUAGUAGCACAACGGC
This 202-nucleotide long non-coding RNA is filed under the name Nicotiana benthamiana. Its description in RNAcentral is "long non-coding RNA (NBEN_LNC000066)". Lineage: Eukaryota; Viridiplantae; Streptophyta; Magnoliopsida; Solanales; Solanaceae. The record is from RNAcentral.